Molecule: ribosomal RNA, 279 nt
Filed under: Gemmiger formicilis
Lineage: Bacteria; Bacillati; Bacillota; Clostridia; Eubacteriales; Oscillospiraceae
Description: partial 16S ribosomal RNA
Rfam family: Bacterial small subunit ribosomal RNA
Source: RNAcentral
UAUGGUAAUGCCAGCAGCCGCGGUAAAACGUAGGGUGCAAGCGUUGUCCGGAAUUACUGGGUGUAAAGGGAGCGCAGGCGGACCGGCAAGUUGGAAGUGAAAACUAUGGGCUCAACCCAUAAAUUGCUUUCAAAACUGCUGGCCUUGAGUAGUGCAGAGGUAGGUGGAAUUCCCGGUGUAGCGGUGGAAUGCGUAGAUAUCGGGAGGAACACCAGUGGCGAAGGCGACCUACUGGGCACCAACUGACGCUGAGGCUCGAAAGCAUGGGUAGCAAACAGG